This is a long non-coding RNA of Notolabrus celidotus (New Zealand spotty), 2834 nucleotides long. RefSeq lists it as uncharacterized. The record is from RefSeq and is a predicted model, not a curated record. The transcript has 2 exons. Lineage: Eukaryota; Metazoa; Chordata; Actinopteri; Labriformes; Labridae.
GAUACCCUCGCCCCGCCUCCCUCGGCUCUAACAUUGCUGCGCUGUCAUUGGUCAAAUGUUGAACGCUGGGAAGAAUUCGCCAACGCGAUUGGUCCAGAAUGUUGGAGAAUGUUGGAGAAUGUUGGAAUAGCGAGAUGCCAUUGGCCGUAAUCUUCAACAUUACAGAAUUCUAAACAGACGAUCCAGCGGCUGCUGGCGUUCAGGUCGCAGUCUCCCCUGGAGGCGUGGGUUCGAAUCCCACUUCUGACAUGACGUGCUUUUCCCUGCCACUGUUGUCUGCCACAUGAUGCUGACAGAGAUUACUCAUCAAGUCUUUACACGGCAGGCGGCAUGAAGACAAUAAAACACUGUGCUCGUAGUACGGCGGGCGUGCCUGACACGCUAAACUGAGACGGUGCCGUUUGUGUGGCCUCUGACUCCUGCUUUUUGCACGUGUUGCUCUCAGCAAAGAAUGAACAUGCUGCUCUCAGCCUCAGCCCUCGUAGCUGACCACGUUACUUUAGACAGCCAGUUAAAGUUGCUUUUUCAUGCGGUCGUCUGUUUCACUGGUAUUUCUUAGUGCCUACCGUCUCUUGUUGUGUGCACAGUAACAACCAUACAUGUUGAUGGCAUGUAAGACCGUGUUCGACAGCUGUCUCUGGAAGCCAUGCGACGGUGCCAUGGUGUAAUGGUUAGCACUCUGGACUCUGAAUCCAGCGAUCCGAGUUCAAAUCUCGGUGGGACCUGCUUUUGAGGUGUCGCAGGUGCCUUGCGACUGGUCGGACGGCAAGCAACACAGGUGCCCAGCACCAGUGAGCCCUUGAACAAUCCAAGGGUUAUCGGGUCAGCCGAUCCUCCUGAAAGGUUCAGAGGCCACUGUAAAUUCCGGCUCGUACUAACCAUCAAAUGGAACUGUAGUCGCUCUUAACAGCGCAUGCAUGCCCUACUGAUGUAAAGCAUAGUGUACACAUUGGACUGGAAUUUGCUGAUGAAGGCAAAAGGCAGGGAUGAACCAAUGAACUCAUCCUGCUUUACUUACGGUACAUUGAUGACUGCUUGGUUGGCAAUUUGAUUUAGAUUGCCUCCAUUGUAGUAGGGAAGGUUAACCCUUCCUCAGCUCACCUCGGCUGGAGAGCAGCACGAGCUUGAAGCCCCUGUCCUUGUGGGUAAAACAAUUAGCUGCUGGUAGGAAGCAUAAGUCUCCCCGUCGGGGAAUCGAACCCCGGUCUUCCGCGUGACAGGCGGAGAUACUGUCCACUAUACUAACGAGGACGCGUGCCCUUGUGGUCCCUGGCACACGACCGCGGUCUUCCUGUCUUUACCAGGACAGUGCAGACAUUCCGAGGGAGGCAUGGCCAACUAUGGGGUCCAAUAUACGACACACAGCAGGUCCGGAGCCUUAGUUCCCCCUUUACUGAAGAGCCCACAAAAGCGCAUUGUGGGAGGCAGGGUCGCAGCCGGUGCCAAGCAGUUGGGUUGAACUCUUUCUUGUGUUAGAUAUUGAUCGUUGUCACAUAAUAAGAGCAACUGAGGGCUGGUGCAUUCGUCUCCUCUUGAUGGCUUUUCGUGCCUUCGUUGUGUAUGAAACACAUACGCAGUCUUUCACGAUGCUCUCAAAUAUCUGUGUGAGCAGACUGUAUGUGUUGAUGAGGGCGGUGGCGCUUACGGGCGCUUCCUUCAGGAUGGCUGUGCACAAAGCUGGGUGGGGGAAAAAUCUGAAAAUAGCCACAACAGGAAACUGGACUACACCGCUGCGCAGCAUCAAGACUCACCGGGGAUCGAGCGCAUGACAUGAAUCAUCGACCAACUGUGACGAAAGCACCGGUUUCCGUAGUGUAGUGGUUAUCACGUUCGCCUCACACGCGAAAGGUCCCCAGUUCGAAACUGGGCGGAAACACUUUGAUGCGUUGCUGUUGUUUCCAGUGGAGAUUGCCGCACUUAUCAGAAAGUGGCCAGUCGUAAGGAGUAGGUGUGGGACGGUCGUGAAGCUGCAGGAACGCAUUCUGGAACCAAGUCCGAAACAAAGCAUUUCAGAAGUCUCAAUUUAGCGUAUGACAAAGAGGAGGCAAUAUUGCAACUGCCACUCAAACAAGACAGUGUGCUGUACAAACAUCUAACAUCUUCGCAGUCCCACCGAGAUUUGAACUCGGAUCACUGGAUUCAAAGUCCAGAGUGCUCACCAUUACACCAUGGAACCAGCUUGAAGGUUGCGCACGCAGUUGUGAACAUGUUUCUCACUUGACUUCAGCCUACCUACUGUUGCGAUAGAUACUGCUCUGUAACAGGACUGAGCUCAAGUCCAAGCGACCAGAAACCUCAGCUAAGCCAAAGCUGUGUUCACAAACUAAAGGACUAGUAAUAUCAGCAGAGCAAUUGGUACUCAAGUUGUACACAUGAGCAAAGCCAGGUACCUGCAACUGGAUUUUUGUAGAAACUGCUUUGGCCUUCCAUUAGUCUUCCUCCCCACUGCAAGGAGCGAUGUCUUCGUCCUCCAGCCCAAAAGGUUGUUCUUGUUGUUGCCAGGUGAAAACAGUAGCAGUCUGCACCCUGAAUGGAGCCAAAAGGAAUGGAAGCUGCCUCAUCACAAGACUUGAAUAGCAGUUCCCCAACCCUAGACCUUCAUAGAGGACUUUUUCUCAUGUCUGCUGGAGACCACCUUCAACAUGGAACUGAAAAUGCCUCCUCUUAGCAUCUUUAUUUUUCUGUGUCAAAGCAGAUUAUUUUGCAUGUUUUAUCUUCAGACUAUUUACCCGUAAAUUAUGCACCAUGUUACUGUUGGUGAUUGUUGUAAACAUCAUUGUCAAUGUUUUUUUGUGUUGUUUACUUCAAUUUUCAAUAAAGACACAUUUUCUGUA